This 1065-nucleotide long non-coding RNA is filed under the name Dromaius novaehollandiae (emu). RNAcentral describes it as "lncRNA (ENSDNVG00000016866.1)". The record is from RNAcentral. Lineage: Eukaryota; Metazoa; Chordata; Aves; Casuariiformes; Dromaiidae.
CUGGCAGCGAGCGCAGAGAGCGCGCGGCGGCGGCGGCGGAGCUGGGCGUGGCAGGUGGACCGCACCGCACCGCACCGCACCGCACCGCACCGCACCGCGCGGCUCCGGCAGCGCCGAGGGUCUCCGUGCCGCGGGGGGGGCGCGGCAGCGGCAGUCGGCGGGGCUCGGCGGCUGUGGGUGCACGUGUCGUGUCCUCCCACACGCACAAAAUUUGCUGUGUUUUUUUUCUUCUUCUUCUCUCCAGCGUGAGCAGUGGGGGGAAAUUUUUUCAUUUUUCACUGCAGUUUUUAAUUUUUCAGUUCCAAGGGUUGCGUUAUUUUUCAAGCCCCGAAUUGCGUAGCGACCAGCGGAGCAUGCGAUGCCACAUGAGCUGAUGCACAAAGCUGUCUGCAUCCUGAAGAAGACCACAGAAUGCCUGGGAAAGGAGAACUCCAAAAAAGACCUCCAGUUCGAGAUGGCUCCCCAAACACAACUUGAGCAUACAGUUGCCUUCAUAGAAGAGGUCUCUAGAGCCAACCCAGAUGCGGUGAUAGGUGUUGUACCUCUUGUCCAGUUCACGUCAUCACUCAUGAAGAGUUUCGAAGGAGUAGCCAGCCAUUCUAAAGCAUGCCCUCUGGAUGAACAACACACUUGGAGAAAACUCAGCAGAUGAAGCUGUGAAGGGCUGAAAUGUACUGAUGCUGGAGAAUCUCCUGUGCCAUGUUGGUCCUCUCACUUCCAAGUUUUCAUGGCAAGACAGAUUUUUUUCAGGAAGGCUCUUCGGUGGCUUAGCUGUAAGAUGCUGAGCUGAAGGUACCUUCCAGAGUUGAAGCACUGGCUGAUCAAAGCUGAGGACUUCUGCUCCUUGGGGAAGGAUGGAGACUGAGUGUAGGAGAAGGCCCAAGUUAAAGAUCCCAAAGUCUUGUAAGAGAGGAACAAAGGCUGCACUGAAAGUGGGAUGAAACAACUAGCAGUGAUCAGAGAUGUAGGCUUGGAAGAAGGAGUUUGAGCCUGGAAGUGCCAAAGGAACUCUGUUUUGUAAGGGCCUAGUAUCUUAGAUCUUAAGAGAAGGAUGCCAUUUAAAGU